RNAcentral lists this ribosomal RNA (467 nucleotides) under uncultured bacterium. RNAcentral describes it as "bacterial SSU rRNA". It matches the Rfam family "Bacterial small subunit ribosomal RNA", at positions 337 to 796 of the family's 1533-position model. The record is from RNAcentral.
UCCUACGGGAGGCAGCAGUGGGGAAUAUUGCGCAAUGGGGGGAACCCUGACGCAGCCAUGCCGCGUGAAUGAAGAAGGCCUUCGGGUUGUAAAGUUCUUUCGGUAAUGAGGAAGGGAUGUUGUUAAGUAGAUAGCAUCAUUGACGUUAAUUACAGAAGAAGCACCGGCUAACUCCGUGCCAGCAGCCGCGGUAAUACGGAGGGUGCGAGCGUUAAUCGGAAUAACUGGGCGUAAAGGGCACGCAGGCGGACUUUUAAGUGAGAUGUGAAAUCCCCGAGCUUAACUUGGGAACUGCAUUUCAGACUGGGAGUCUAGAGUACUUUAGGGAGGGGUAGAAUUCCACGUGUAGCGGUGAAAUGCGUAGAGAUGUGGAGGAAUACCGAAGGCGAAGGCAGCCCCUUGGGAAUGUACUGACGCUCAUGUGCGAAAGCGUGGGGAGCAAACAGGAUUAGAUACCCUGGUAGUCC